Eucalyptus grandis is the source of this 863-nucleotide long non-coding RNA. RefSeq lists it as uncharacterized. Lineage: Eukaryota; Viridiplantae; Streptophyta; Magnoliopsida; Myrtales; Myrtaceae. The record is from RefSeq and is a predicted model, not a curated record. The transcript is spliced from 2 exons.
CAAAGCUCGAGAGCCACCUCCAACAGUGCCAUUUCCAUCUGGCCGAUUAAGCUCAUCGGACCACCCGGCUCGCCGGUCCGACUCGGUGGGCCCUCUUUCAUUAUCCACCACAGGGUCUCUUCCUUCAUAUCUCCUCCUCGUCUACUCUCUUUCUCGCUCGCGCGCGCUCUAUAUAUUAACCCGGAAGCCUCCAUUGCUCGCUGCCUCAGCACAAGAAGAGCAAACAACUCUUUACUCAGAAAAGAAUCCAAACCCGUCUUCUUUUUCCCUUUAUUUUCUGUGGGUUUUGGGCUUCUGGGGUAUGAGAGAGGGAGAGAGAAUGGGAGGGGCUAACUCAAGCACAAGCGCGGUGAGGACGAGCUUGAAGCUGCGUUCAUGGCAGCGGUGCUGCUCGAAGCACAUCAGGGAGCAGAGGGCCCGCCUCUACCUCAUCUGGAGGUGCACGGUCAUGCUUAUCUGCUGGCAAGACUGAUCGAGAACACAGAAGAGUCAAAGAGAGAGAGAGAGAGAGAGAAAGAGAAAGGAUCGUAGGUAGAGAGAGAUCAAGAUCGCAGCGUACGAAGUAGAAGCUGUUGAGCCGGGGAAGCAUUUUUCUUCUCAAGUGCAGAAAGCUCUGAAAGUUUGCAUGAAUGUACAGCCUCUUAAAUUUAUUUUAUUUUUCCUUUUUUCCCCUUUUUAAUAUAGUUGGUUAAGGUUGACUCAAUGGAAAAUAAAUCAGUAGAUAAAUUAUGCAAAGCUAAAUAGAGAGGUGCGACUCAUAGCUUCAAUCUUUUCUUUCUCUCCUUUCUUCAUUUUCCACUUUCGAUGUAUUUUGCAGAUAUAGAGUCGAUCUGGCCUUUGAGAAUGAAAGGAAUUUUUUUUUU